RNAcentral lists this non-coding RNA (29 nucleotides) under Homo sapiens (human). Lineage: Eukaryota; Metazoa; Chordata; Mammalia; Primates; Hominidae. The record is from RNAcentral.
AUAGGAAGCAUGAUCAGGGAAGAAGAGGU